This 420-nucleotide ribosomal RNA is filed under the name Fusobacteriota bacterium. RNAcentral's name for it is "Fusobacteria bacterium partial 16S ribosomal RNA". It matches the Rfam family "Bacterial small subunit ribosomal RNA", at positions 355 to 776 of the family's 1533-position model. The record is from RNAcentral. Lineage: Bacteria; Fusobacteriati; Fusobacteriota.
UGGGGGAUAUUGCACAAUGGGCGAAAGCCUGAUGCAGCGACGCCGCGAGGGGGAUGAAGGCCCUCGGGUUGUAAACUUCUUUUGCUCUGAACAAGGCAUGCCUUUGGGGUGUGUUGAGUGUAGGGGUUGAUUAGCGCCGGCUAACUACGUGCCAGCAGCCGCGGUAAUACGUAGGGCGCGAGCGUUGUCCGGAAUUAUUGGGCGUAAAGGGCUUGUAGGUGGCUGGUUGCGUCUGUCGUGAAAGCUCAUGGCUUAACUGUGGGUUUGCGGUGGGUACGGGCUGGCUUGAGUGCAGUAGGGGAGGCUGGAAUUCCUGGUGUAGCGGUGGAAUGCGCAGAUAUCAGGAGGAAUACCGGUGGCGAAGGCGGGUCUCUGGGCUGUUACUGACGCUGAGGAGCGAAAGCGUGGGGAGCGAACAGG